Molecule: ribosomal RNA, 465 nt
Filed under: Vreelandella stevensii
Lineage: Bacteria; Pseudomonadati; Pseudomonadota; Gammaproteobacteria; Oceanospirillales; Halomonadaceae
Description: partial 16S ribosomal RNA
Rfam family: Bacterial small subunit ribosomal RNA
Source: RNAcentral
CCUACGGGCGGCAGCAGUGGGGAAUAUUGGACAAUGGGGGCAACCCUGAUCCAGCCAUGCCGCGUGUGUGAAGAAUGCCCUCGGGUUGUAAAGCACUUUCAGUGAGGAAGAACGCCUGGUGGUUAAUACCCAUCAGGAAAGACAUCACUCACAGAAGAAGCACCGGCUAACUCCGUGCCAGCAGCCGCGGUAAUACGGAGGGUGCGAGCGUUAAUCGGAAUUACUGGGCGUAAAGCGCGCGUAGGUGGCUUGAUAAGCCGGUUGUGAAAGCCCCGGGCUCAACCUGGGAACGGCAUCCGGAACUGUCAAGCUAGAGUGCAGGAGAGGAAGGUAGAAUUCGCGGUGUAGCGGUGAAAUGCGUAGAGAUCGGGAGGAAUACCAGUGGCGAAGGCGGCCUUCUGGACUGAAACUGACACUGAGGUGCGAAAGCGUGGGUAGCAAACAGGAUUAGAUACCCCUGUAGUC